UUUUUUUUCACGUCUCCCUAGGUAGUCUAUCCUUGAUAUGUUCAUCCUAACCGAUGAAAAAUAUUCUUCCUUUGAGUUUAUCCUUGAUAUGUUCACUUUAACUAGUGGAGAAUACUCUCUCUUUUGUUUUCUACCAAGUAAAAAGGUAGUUGUAAUCCCUAUUUUAUUCCCCAGAGAGUUUAUCCUUGAUAUGUUCACUUUGAC
RNAcentral lists this long non-coding RNA (204 nucleotides) under Lathyrus oleraceus (garden pea). RNAcentral's name for it is "Pisum sativum (pea) long non-coding RNA (PSAT_LNC031405)". The record is from RNAcentral. Lineage: Eukaryota; Viridiplantae; Streptophyta; Magnoliopsida; Fabales; Fabaceae.